This is a long non-coding RNA of Chinchilla lanigera (long-tailed chinchilla), 1932 nucleotides long. RefSeq lists it as uncharacterized. The transcript has 3 exons. The record is from RefSeq and is a predicted model, not a curated record. NCBI's taxonomy places the organism in Eukaryota, Metazoa, Chordata, Mammalia, Rodentia, Chinchillidae.
CAGUGCUUGGAAAUCAAACCUAGGGCUUCACACAUGCUGGACCAAGCGCCCUAGUGCACACGAGGGAUUCAACACGUGUCUGGGCUGCACAGUCCCCGGAGACGCUGUGAGCAGCCCCGCCUGUGCCCGCUGUGCCUGCCCCCACAGCAAGACCCCAGUUGGCUCACCUAACUGAAGCACCCAGAGAGCGGCUAACCACAAUCCUGGAGAUAGAAAUCAGGGAUGAACCGGGGACAGCUGCAAGUGCUACAGUUAUGUUGUGACAAAUGCCACUGCCAAUCCGGCUGGAGAUGUGACCACCACGUGGUCCCUGGAGACCAGAUUCUCAGGGUACCAGAGAUCAAACUCGGGCCUCAUACAUUCUAGGCAAGUACUCUACCAGCAAGUUACCACCCAGACGUAUCUCUCUUCAUUUUAUGUCUUUCUUCCUUGUUACUAUAUAUUUUAAAUGUCAAUAUUACCAUUCAGUAUUUUUCACUCCUACCCACCUGUAACAAAAUAAAAUAAAAUGUUUAAAGAAAAUAGAGUGUAUCAGCUACAGGCAUCAGUUAUUUUCAAAAAUGUUAGCCAUUUAUGAGGACAACUUUUUGUAGGUACAAUAAAUCUGAUUGAUUUUAUUACACAUCUUAGUUCAGAAUCACUUUUACAUUCCUAGACAAAGAGAUGAUACAAAUAAAUAUCAAUUGUAAAACUUAGAGCCCCUAGUAUUGGCAUGUUCUUUGUCUAAAAGUAGCCAAAGAGAAGGUCAAGAUCAAUAGUAACUACAAGGAGCCAUAAAGCCCACCACCUUCUGCCCACCUGGGACCACUCCUUUUAUAAAUAACCUCAAAAGCAUUUCAUUCAAGACACAAAGGCAGAGAGAAAAGAGCCAGAUUUAAAUCAUACAAGACCUGCCUCAUGUGGUGGACAAUCGCCAGGCCCACUGUUCGAAUCUAGUUCUCUCUGAGCAUUUUCAGGAUGGCUUUAGGGUACAUUAAAAGCCUGGACUUCAUCUACUGAUGGUGUGUGGAUGGUUCAAGGAGGGUUCACAGUACACCCCGGCUUCAAAUGGGGCUGUGAGGCAGAACUGACUCGCUGUGCUACAGGGAGUCGACGCUUCUCAGAAACUUGGCAACAAAUCUACAUUCAGUGAGGGAGGACUUACAAGAGUCAGACAGGAAAAGCAGAGAGCAGCCCACGCCUGAGCUGCAGAACACUCUGGUGCCCUUUGUUGAGGAGAUAUGAGUGGAGCAAGUCAAGCAGCAUGCAGGCAGUGGACGGGGAACCAUUCAACGUUAUGUCAGAGGCUUAAGAAAGUGCUUCAUGCCUAUGAUUUGUGGCCUUGGGUUCUGAAUCCAGGGGUCUGGGAGAUGUGUGACUGUAAAAAUAUGAAGCCAGAUACAUUCUACUGAGGAGAGCAAAAGGGAGUCUGGCGAGGUUGCAGAGUCUCAAACUCCUCCCAGAUGGUCUUCUGAGGUCCGACUUCACUAGCUGCUGGCAUGAAGGCUCUCCACCAUUCUGGAACAUUCCAGCACAAAUGCCCUCAGUGGGCUUGCUAUGUCCUCUACACAUGUGGUUCAAUUUGGAAGCCAAAGCAGCACCAUUCUGGUGGCAGCAAUACGUCUUUCCAUGUGCUCUUUCUGAAUAUUUAUCGGAUCCAUUUUGAGAGAAGAAAAGCACCAGAGACUGCUUAGUAAAGGAUAGCUUCAUCUCCAAGUGAGUGUCCUUUUACUGAGUGUCCCCAGACCACCAAAUGAACACAGCAGAGAACCAGACAAGCUUGUUUUAGUAUUCAGGUCUGUCAACCCGGCUUUCCUCUCUGCCUUCUCGAAAACGUUCUGUGUCAUUUAACUACCCCUGCUCACACAGCCACCUCAGGACACCAGUGUAAAGGUAUAAUGGGACCCACAGUUUCAGUUCUCUGAUUUGCUACAUGAUUCUUUUCAGCCUACA